RNAcentral lists this ribosomal RNA (497 nucleotides) under uncultured bacterium. RNAcentral describes it as "partial 16S ribosomal RNA". It matches the Rfam family "Bacterial small subunit ribosomal RNA", at positions 28 to 507 of the family's 1533-position model. The record is from RNAcentral.
GAUGAACGCUGGCGGCGUGCCUAAUACAUGCAAGUCGAGCGAACGGACGAGAAGCUUGCUUUUCUGAUGUUAGCGGCGGACGGGUGAGUAACACGUGGAUAACCUACCUAUAAGACUGGGAUAACUUCGGGAAACCGGAGCUAAUACCGGAUAAUAUUUUGAACCGCAUGGUUCAAAAGUGAAAGACGGUCUUGCUGUUACUUAUAGAUGGAUCCGCGCUGCAUUAGCUAGUUGGUAAGGUAACGGCUUACCAAGGCAACGAUGCAUAGCCGACCUGAGAGGGUGAUCGGCCACACUGGAACUGAGACACGGUCCAGACUCCUACGGGAGGCAGCAGUAGGGAAUCUUCCGCAAUGGGCGAAAGCCUGACGGAGCAACGCCGCGUGCGUGAUGAAGGUCUUCGGAUCGUAAAACUCUGUUAUUAGGGAAGAACAUAUGUGUAAGUAACUGUGCACAUCUUGACGGUACCUAAUCAGAAAGCCACGGCUAACUACGUG